CAUAUAAUUACAAUUAAUUGUUUUUUAUUAAUUGUCUGUUUGUGUUUUACAUAUAAUUACAAGUACUUGUUUUUUUAUUAAUAAAAUCGACCUAACUUGAUGGUUGUCCCUGUGGUGUUUCAUGAAGGACUCGUUAGAAGAACAGACAACACAAGGUACAUUUGUCCCCAUGGUCAUGAUGACAUACUUAACACUGCCAUUGGGCGACCAGAUCAUGGAGGUUGUGUUCGUGCAACGGGGUUUGGUGUGACAAUAACUCAAUACUAUGGAAGGGCAUCACGUGGCUCCAAUAGCUCAUUCACAUCCAUCACCCAACAACAGUUGGCUGAAAUAAUAGGAAACCUUAAGGAAGAGUAGAGGAAUGAGAUUAAGGAAGAAGUCAAGAAUGAGAUUGGAGAACAAAACAAAUAAAGUCUAGAGAUAUUGAAACAGGAGUUGAAGGAGGCCAUCAAAAUUGAGAUGUCGCAAAUAAAGUGACUGAAGCUGUUCAACAGUUGAAUGAUGUUGCUAUAGAUGACCCCUUGCGUGAGUUGAUUAAGAGCAUGUACGACAUUUAUGAGAAGCCCGUUCAGUUGGUGUGGGAUGUUACUAAAUUUGGGAUUCAAAAUGUAGAUGCAUCCUUGUUCUUAACAUAUGUUGAUGUCAAUGAAAUAAUAUCAGGCGAAAAAUGUUUGAAUAUAACUAUACUACAGUUGUGGAUGAUGUAUAUGGAUGAGUGGAGUUCUAGCUUGGGUCAUGGUUCGAUGUAUGGAUUCCUUGAGCCUCAGUCGAUACACAAUGCAAAGUGUCAUACCCUAAUUCCGUCCAGGGACUAUCGUUCGUUGAUAUUUUGAACCUUACUAGUCGACUUACGGUGUUGAACGUCAGUUACAGUGCAAAGCAAGGAACCAUUCGGUGUUUCGAUCAGGAAGACAAAAGAUAUAAAGAAAGGAGGGCAAAAAGGUCUUUUCCUUGUUUUUUCUAGGCCCCUGCUCGCCCAGGUCAGCAUUUGGCUCGCCUGGGCCACCAAAUAACUUCAAGGCUAAGGGACUAGCUCGCCUGGGCGAACUCACUGCUUCAGGUUUAAGUUUCAGCUCACUUGGGCGAGCUGCAACCGCCCAAGGUGGGAUUUUGCCUAUAAAUAGGCAUCCUAGGGGUGUUGUAAAGGGUUAUAAGGUUUAGAAGUGGAGGGAAUUGAGAGAAUUAAGAAAGAAGAUGAAACAAAGCCAAGGCACUACAGAAUCGUGACUGCGAUCAUUCCCUACGUCUUUUCUGGUUUUGUAUUCUUUGUGCGACCAUUAGUUAGUUUUAUUUUUUGGGAUUGAAUGUGAUCUAUGUACCCUUAGGGGUCCCCCUUGUUAUAAUGUCCACAUUCAUCUUUUCCAUCUAUCAUCGACAAUCUCGUUUUUCUUUGUAAAGUUCAAUCUUAGUUGAUCACUAGUGUUGUAAAGUUGUCUUUGAAGA
Long non-coding RNA from Glycine soja, 1443 nucleotides. RefSeq lists it as uncharacterized. The transcript is spliced from 2 exons. NCBI's taxonomy places the organism in Eukaryota, Viridiplantae, Streptophyta, Magnoliopsida, Fabales, Fabaceae. The record is from RefSeq and is a predicted model, not a curated record.